Molecule: non-coding RNA, 194 nt
Filed under: human gut metagenome
Source: RNAcentral
AGAACUGAUAAUCCGACAAGUGGAAUGAGGGAGUAACGCCCCGAAACGCUUGCACUGAUACUCCGAUAUACAACUACCCGUGCAAUAGAGAAGUUGUAUAAAGCUUGGUGAAGUCGGCUGAGAGUAUACCCAAACAGGGUAAGCUGUGGAAAUGCAAACUAGAGGAAGUCAAGUGUGUGAUAGGCCGGGUGUCG